RNAcentral lists this ribosomal RNA (253 nucleotides) under uncultured bacterium. Its description in RNAcentral is "partial 16S ribosomal RNA". It matches the Rfam family "Bacterial small subunit ribosomal RNA", at positions 524 to 776 of the family's 1533-position model. The record is from RNAcentral.
UACGAAGGGAGCUAGCGUUGUUCGGAAUCACUGGGCGUAAAGCGCACGUAGGCGGAUUUGUUAGUCAGGGGUGAAAUCCCGGGGCUCAACCUCGGAACUGCCUUUGAUACUGCAAAUCUCGAGUCCGGAAGAGGUGGGUGGAAUUCCUAGUGUAGAGGUGAAAUUCGUAGAUAUUAGGAAGAACACCGGUGGCGAAGGCGGCCCACUGGUCCGGUACUGACGCUGAGGUGCGAAAGCGUGGGUAGCAAACAGG